Molecule: long non-coding RNA, 473 nt
Organism: Canis lupus familiaris (dog)
Lineage: Eukaryota; Metazoa; Chordata; Mammalia; Carnivora; Canidae
Exons: 3
Source: RefSeq, a predicted model, not a curated record
GUUUGGAGUGGGUGUGUCCACAGGAAACUUGGAGGUGGAUUGCACAGUGUGUUCAAGGUCUAUGCUGGUCUACCUCAGGAAGGUGCCUUCAGCUGCUUGGGAAAAUUCCAUUCAAGGCUGGUCAGAUUGUUGGAGAGAGAUCUGCAGAAGUGUGAAAGUUUUGCCACUGAGCUGGUUCCUGCAGAUGUUCAAGUAUCUAAGCAGGGGAAGGGCAGGGGAGGGAAAUGACACCUGCCAGCUUUUUCUUCUUGGAGAAGUCUCCCAAAGAUCUCUGCCCACCCAGGAUGUGCUCUGAGCUUCUCCCAUCCUGGAGCUGGUCUCUCAGAAGAUACUCCUGGAAUUCCAAUUGCAGGGUUUCCCCAUCACUGAACACGAGGUGUUUUGUUCAAGCAGACGGCAAAAUGACAGAAUCAGGAAGGUCCAUGGUGGUUGGUAAGGCAUACUGGUAGAUUUUUUGUAAGUAUCAUGCCUAG